Molecule: ribosomal RNA, 378 nt
Filed under: uncultured Acholeplasma sp.
Lineage: Bacteria; Bacillati; Mycoplasmatota; Mollicutes; Acholeplasmatales; Acholeplasmataceae
Description: bacterial SSU rRNA
Rfam family: Bacterial small subunit ribosomal RNA
Source: RNAcentral
GCUCUGGAGACAGAGCGGAGGUAUCCGGGAGGACAGGUGGUGCAUGGUUGUCGUCAGCUCGUGUCGUGAGAUGUUGGGUUAAGUCCCGCAACGAGCGCAACCCUUAUUGCUAGUUACCAUCAUUGAGUUGGGGACUCUAGCGAGACUGCCAGCGAUAAGCUGGAGGAAGGUGGGGAUGAUGUCAAAUCAUCAUGCCCCUUAUGACCUGGGCUACAAACGUGAUACAAUGGCUGGAACAAAGGGAGGCGAAGGGGUGACCUGGAGCGAAACCCAAAAUACAGUCUCAGUUCGGAUUGAAGUCUGCAACUCGACUUCAUGAAGUCGGAAUCGCUAGUAAUCGCGGAUCAGAACGCCGCGGUGAAUACGUUCUCGGGGUUU